GUUUAACCAAUCAACGUGUUUAACCAACCAACAUGUUUAAUCAACGUGUUUAACCAACCAACCAAUCAAUCAAUCAAUGCAUGUUUCCGUUUCAUCUGUUUCAUACGGGAUCCAAGGUCUCUUUUUUUUCUUCGCUUGUUGUAAUUGAGCCUAUCCAAUGUGUUUAACUAACCAACGUGUUUAACCAACAUGUUUAACCAAACCAACGUGUUUAACCAACCAACCAACCAAUCAAUCAACCAAUGCAUGUUUCUGUUUCAUGUGUUUAAUACGGAAUCUAAUGUCUCUUUUUUUUCGCUUGUUUAAAUUAACCCUAUACAACGUGUUUAACCAAUGUGUUUAACCAAACAAUGUGUUUAACCAACCAACCAACCAAUCAAUCAA
This 384-nucleotide long non-coding RNA is filed under the name Mytilus galloprovincialis (Mediterranean mussel). The record is from RNAcentral. Lineage: Eukaryota; Metazoa; Mollusca; Bivalvia; Mytilida; Mytilidae.